UACGGGGGGGGCAAGCGUUGUUCGGAAUUACUGGGCGUAAAGGGCUCGUAGGCGGCCAACUAAGUCGGAUGUGAAAUCCCCAGGCUCAACCUGGGAACUGCAUCCGAUACUGGAUGGCUUGAAUUCGGGAGAGGGAUGCAGAAUUCCAGGUGUAGCGGUGAAAUGCGUAGAUAUCAGGAGGAACACCGAUGGCGAAGGCAGGUCUCUGGGCAUUAACUGACGCUGAGGAGCGAAAGCAUGGGGAGCGAACAGG
This 253-nucleotide ribosomal RNA is filed under the name uncultured bacterium. Its description in RNAcentral is "partial 16S ribosomal RNA". It matches the Rfam family "Bacterial small subunit ribosomal RNA", at positions 524 to 776 of the family's 1533-position model. The record is from RNAcentral.